Alligator mississippiensis (American alligator) is the source of this 128-nucleotide small nucleolar RNA. It matches the Rfam family "Small nucleolar RNA SNORD22". Rfam says of the family: U22 is a member of the C/D class of snoRNA which contain the C (UGAUGA) and D (CUGA) box motifs. U22 is encoded within the U22 snoRNA host gene (UHG) in mammals and has also been identified in Xenopus. Lineage: Eukaryota; Metazoa; Chordata; Crocodylia; Alligatoridae. The record is from Rfam.
UCCCAAUGAGGAGACUUGCACUUGUCUUACUGCCUGUUCUGGUGCCAGAACCUGCAAAGGUUGAACCCACUGGUGCCGGCAGCCGGAGAGGAGGAUGACCCGUUCUGGCUGGAACUGUCUGAUGGGAC